GCUAAGGAUAGGGAGGUGGAUUUGGGAGCUAGCUCCAAAGAAGGUCGCACCACGGGAAUGAAUCAUGGCCCGGGAAGGGACUGUAGGACAAGGAAAGAGGACUAAGGCUGGACCUUGGUGACAGAACACUGAUGGGACAGGCAGAAGAAGAGGAACCAUGAGGAAGACUAAAGAGGAAUAACACUAGUGAGGAGAAGCAAGGCAGUUCAGUGUCAUGGAAGCCAAAAAUAUGGAGACUUCAAGAGGGAAAUUAAGAUCAGAAAAGAGAACAAGAGAAGAUGGCUGGUUGGUUGCUGGACACCAGAAUAUGAAGAAAUUGAUCCCCUACCUCAAGAAAUGAGAGCAAUACUGAGAGCAUCAGACCGAAGAUUUGGUGUAUGGUUCAAAUUCAUGAUCUAUCUUCUCCAAAUGUUGGCUUUCUCGUCUCUGUUGAUGACCUACUAUGUACCAUUUUGAACGCCUGUUGGACUUAAUAAACUUGCCUCUCCAGGUAUUUGGCUCAGGUGGGUGCUCCUCUAGGAUAUGGCGAUCAAGUAUGCAUUGAUAUCACCCAGAACCUCUGCUCUCAUGCAUCAUCUUUUUCCAGUCUGAGGAUCCCUUACUCUGCCUGGGGAGACAGCUUUUUGGUCUGGCAACACUCCUCCCUUCCAUCAUGACAUUGGAGCUCCUGAGCCCUGCUCCAUGUGCACGAGGGCUGACCAGUGAGGAGGCAGUAAUGUGAAUACUGUACCCCAGGUGUAUGUGGCAUGGCUCACUGCUCUGUAAGGGGAUCUGUGGGUUAUCUGGGGCCAGCUUUUAACCCCAGACUACUUUCCCCUUAACCAGCUUCCUCUUGCUAUCUCGUUCAGAGUGCAUGGGGGAAAAUGCAAUCUCACUUAAAAAUUAACUCAAACAUCUGCUGGUAG
Molecule: long non-coding RNA, 905 nt
Filed under: Ailuropoda melanoleuca (giant panda)
Lineage: Eukaryota; Metazoa; Chordata; Mammalia; Carnivora; Ursidae
Description: lncRNA (ENSAMEG00000028242.1)
Source: RNAcentral